Molecule: ribosomal RNA, 901 nt
Filed under: uncultured bacterium
Lineage: Bacteria
Description: bacterial SSU rRNA
Rfam family: Bacterial small subunit ribosomal RNA
Source: RNAcentral
AGAGUUUGAUCAUGGCUCAGGAUGAACGCUGGCGGCGUGCCUAAUACAUGCAAGUCGAACGAAGCACCUCGGUGCUUAGUGGCGAACGGGUGAGUAACACGUGGGUAACCUGCCCUCAAGACGAGGAUAACCGUUGGAAACGAUGGCUAAGACUGGAUAGGAAUACGGGAGGCAUCUUCUGUAUUUUAAAAGACCUGGCAACAGGUAUGCUUGAGGAGGGGCCUGCGGCGCAUUAGUUAGUUGGUGAGGUGAUGGCUCACCAAGACGAUGAUGCGUAGCCGGACUGAGAGGUUGAACGGCCACAUUGGGACUGAGAGACGGCCCAAACUCCUACGGGAGGCAGCAGUAGGGAAUUUUCGGCAAUGGGGGAAACCCUGACCGAGCAACGCCGCGUGAACGACGAAGUACUUCGGUAUGUAAAGUUCUUUUAAGAGGGAAGAAUGGCCCGUGGAAAAGCGGGCGUGACGGUACCUUUUGAAUAAGCCCCGGCUAACUAUGUGCCAGCAGCCGCGGUAAUACAUAGGGGGCAAGCGUUAUCCGGAAUUAUUGGGCGUAAAGGGUGCGUAGGUGGCCAUUUAAGUCUUUGGUGUAAGUUCAGCGCUCAACGCUGUGAUGCUAAAGAAACUGGGUGGCUUGAGUGUGGUAGAGGCAAGUGGAAUUCCAUGUGUAGCGGUAAAAUGCGUAAAUAUAUGGAGGAACACCGGUGGCGAAGGCGGCUUGCUGGGCCACAACUGACACUGAAGCACGAAAGCGUGGGGAGCAAACAGGAUUAGAUACCCUGGUAGUCCAUGCCGUAAACGAUGAGUACUAAGUGUAGGGGAAACUCUGUGCUGUAGUUAACGCAAUAAGUACUCCGCCUGAGUAGUACGUACGCAAGUAUGAAACUCAAAUGAAUUGACGG